AGCUCCAAUAGCGUAUAUUAAAGUUGUUGCGGUAAAAAAGCUCGUAGUUGGAUUUCUGUUGAGGAUGGUCGGUCCGUACAAUGUAUGUGUAUCUGACUCAGCCUCGGCAUCCUCUCGCGAGACGUUUCUGCGCUUGAUUGCGUGGUGCGGAUUUCGGGACUUUUACUUUGAGGAAAUUAGAGUGUUCACGGCAGGCAAUCGCCAGAAUACAUUAGCAUGGAAUAAUACUAUAGGAUCUUGAUUCUAUUUUGUUGGUUUCUAGAAUUAAGAUAAUGAUUAAUAGGGACAAUUGGGGGCAUUCGUAUCAACACGUCAGAGGUGGAAUUCUUGGAUUGUGUUGCGACGAACUACUGCGAAAGCAUUUGCCAAGGAUGUUUUCA
RNAcentral lists this ribosomal RNA (380 nucleotides) under uncultured eukaryote. Its description in RNAcentral is "SSU rRNA". It matches the Rfam family "Eukaryotic small subunit ribosomal RNA", at positions 587 to 972 of the family's 1831-position model. The record is from RNAcentral.